RNAcentral lists this ribosomal RNA (497 nucleotides) under uncultured bacterium. RNAcentral describes it as "partial 16S ribosomal RNA". It matches the Rfam family "Bacterial small subunit ribosomal RNA", at positions 28 to 507 of the family's 1533-position model. The record is from RNAcentral.
GAUGAACGCUGGCGGCGUGCCUAAUACAUGCCAGUCGAGCGAACGGACGAGAAGCUUGCUUCUCUGAUGUUAGCGGCGGACGGGUGAGUAACACGUGGAUAACCUACCUAUAAGACUGGGAUAACUUCGGGAAACCGGAGCUAAUACCGGAUAAUAUUUUGAACCGCAUGGUUCAAAAGUGAAAGACGGUCUUGCUGUCACUUAUAGAUGGAUCCGCGCUGCAUUAGCUAGUUGGUAAGGUAACGGCUUACCAAGGCAACGAUGCAUAGCCGACCUGAGAGGGUGAUCGGCCACACUGGAACUGAGACACGGUCCAGACUCCUUCGGGAGGCAGCAGUAGGGAAUCUUCCGCAAUGGGCGAAAGCCUGACGGAGCAACGCCGCGUGAGUGAUGAAGGUCUUCGGAUCGUAAAACUCUGUUAUUAGGGAAGAACAUAUGUGUAAGUAACUGUGCACAUCUUGACGGUACCUAAUCAGAAAGCCACGGCUAACUACGUG